This 797-nucleotide ribosomal RNA is filed under the name uncultured bacterium. RNAcentral's name for it is "bacterial SSU rRNA". It matches the Rfam family "Bacterial small subunit ribosomal RNA", at positions 102 to 916 of the family's 1533-position model. The record is from RNAcentral.
ACGGGUGAGUAACGCGUGAGUAACCUGCCUCUAAGAGGGGAAUAACGUUCUGAAAAGAUCGCUAAUACCGCAUAACAUAUUGAAGCCGCAUGACUUUGAUAUCAAAGAUUUAUCGCUUAGAGAUGGACUCGCGUCCGAUUAGCUUGUUGGCGGGGUAACGGCCCACCAAGGCGACGAUCGGUAGCCGGACUGAGAGGUUGAACGGCCACAUUGGGACUGAGACACGGCCCAGACUCCUACGGGAGGCAGCAGUGGGGGAUAUUGCGCAAUGGGGGCAACCCUGACGCAGCAACGCCGCGUGAAGGAUGAAGGUUUUCGGAUUGUAAACUUCUUUUGUUAGGGACGAAAUUUGACGGUACCUAACGAAUAAGCUCCGGCUAACUACGUGCCAGCAGCCGCGGUAAUACGUAGGGAGCAAGCGUUGUCCGGAUUUACUGGGUGUAAAGGGUGCGUAGGCGGCCGAGUAAGUCAGAUGUGAAAUCUAUGGGCUCAACCCAUAAACUGCAUUUGAAACUACUUGGCUUGGGUGAAGUAGAGGCAGGCGGAAUUCCCUGUGUAGCGGUGAAAUGCGUAGAGAUAGGGAGGAACACCAGUGGCGAAGGCGGCCUGCUGGGCUUUAACUGACGCUGAGGCACGAAAGCGUGGGUAGCAAACAGGAUUAGAUACCCUGGUAGUCCACGCUGUAAACGAUGAUUACUAGGUGUGGGGGGACUGACCCCUUCCGUGCCGGAGUUAACACAAUAAGUAAUCCACCUGGGGAGUACGGCCGCAAGGUUGAAACUCAAAUGAAUUGACGG